Molecule: RNA transcript, 6251 nt
Organism: Uranotaenia lowii
Lineage: Eukaryota; Metazoa; Arthropoda; Insecta; Diptera; Culicidae
Exons: 4
Source: RefSeq, a predicted model, not a curated record
CGUAUGUAUUGAUUACUAGUUGUUCCGAUCAUUCUUUAAUGUAUUUUGUUAUAGUAGGUGGAAUCUAUUUGGCUAGUUGCGCGUGAUUUGAGUGCUCGCGGGUUUGUGAGUCGGAAGAGGUUAGGUGAUAGAAAUUCCUUACUGCGCAAUUUGCCACUAAAAUAUUGUAUUUCCUUUGAUAGUUUGAGUGACCGUUCGGUUGUUCCGGUUAGGUGUACCGGGUUGAGCUCAAUUAGAGCGGUAGGAAAGAAAAAGCGUAAGUACGCAAGUGUACUUUUUAUUUACCCGAAGAUAAAUAUGAUUUUCGUCCAUUAGCUUCAAAUAGCCGGUGAUAUCCGACGGUUUAGGGUUGCCAGAGCUAGAGCUUAGGGUAAACGGCGAAACUUAUUUUCGAGUUCGUUCGCAUACAACGUACUACGGAACAGUUUUUAUUUCCCACAAAUCUCGAAAAUAAAGCUGCAACGAGCAACCUAAACCUGGAACCGAUGAUGGAAGGCCCUACCGGAGAGCUGUACAGCUGCGUGACAUGUCGCCGCCCAGAUUCAGCGCAGAGCAUGGUCGCUUGUGACGAGUGUUCGCAAUGGCAACAUUAUGGAUGCGCCGGUGUUACGGCUACCAUAGCCGAUCGAAGCUGGCUCUGCUGCAGAUGCGUAGCUAGUCACAACGCAGUUAAUUUUACUCAAACCGGCAACAUAAACUCGCCCGAAGCACGCACAACAUUUGCUUCUGCUCGCGCGGUCGAUCGUGAUGAUAAUACCACCGGUCCAAUUAGUGGGAGACAGGACGAUCGAAAUUUCGGAAGACUUCAAUCGUCGUCUAAUUCGAAUGCCGGAUCAGUCGUCUCAGUCAAUGCUAUUGCUCAUCUUCGUUUGAGGCACCUGAAAGAGCAAAAGGAUUUGGAAGAUCAAAAAGCGGAACGGGAUCGCGAGUUUCUUGCUAGAAAGCAGCAGCUAGAAGCAGAAAUAGCUUUGGAAGAGCUCAAUGAAGGAUGUGAUCGUAGCGUAGGAGGAAAAAGUCAUCGAAGUAUCGCCGGUUGGGUGGAACAACAAUGCGGAUUCGUGCAUACUUCUACCCCAGUCCAGCAGAAACCCGAGACAGUGGCUCCAAGUGCGAACCCACAUCCCGCCAUCCAACAGCGAGAGGAGCGGCAAAGAAUGCAAGCAAUAAUUCAAUCAGGUCAACAGAUUCAACCAAGCACUGCGCCAAAACAAGCAGAGAUUCCAGUAAGAAAUCCUCCCCCAGCUAUAGCACCGGGCCCAAGGAGCAAUUAUCUUGAUUCGAAUCCACGUUUUCCGCCAGUGGCUCAGAAUCCAGUUCCACCUGUACCAGUGAAUCCGCUAACAUUGCCACCGCCGAGCUCGUCGCAGUUCCCUGGAUUUCCAGUGAUGAAUAACCCCUACGGGACGAUGUAUUUUCCAAAUAUUCCUGACAUGCCGUCAUCUGGUGCUGAUUAUCAGUUUGCGCACCCUCAGGGAGGAGUCUUUAUCAACAACCCAGUCAGGCAUCCGAACUUUGGUUUGAAUGUACAGCCGUGUGCUUGGCAAGCAUCCGAGCAGCACCCGCCUACAGUUCCACCAACAGUGUCAGCAGAUUUGGGUAAAGGAUUUCCUCAUGCUACAGGUCGCAUGAUUACGCCACAGCAACUGGCGGCGCGUCAAGUUGUCUCUAGAGACCUCCCCAAGUUUUCCGGGGACCCACUCGAGUGGCCCAUGUUCUUGAGUGCAUUUGAAUCGACAACGGCCAUGUGUGGCAUACAACCAGACGAGAACCUUGCUAGGCUACAGAAAAGUCUUGUUGGUAGCGCUCGCGAAAAGGUCCAGAAUAUUUUAAUGCUGCCGGAUGCAAUUCCGGAAAUUAUUGACAUCCUACGAGCCGAGUGUGGAAGGCCAGAUCAAAUUGUAUAUUGUCUGCUAUCCAAGAUCCGGAAAACCGUUCAGCCGUCUGUGGCGAAAUUGGAGACGCUUGUGGCGUUCGGCAGGGAGGUACGCAACAUGGUGACGUACAUGCAGUCAGCUAAACUCAACACCCAUUUGGACAAUCCACUCUUGCUGGCAGAGCUGGUCGCUAAGCUUCCACCCGACUUGCAGCUACAAUGGGGUAUGAACUUAGCAGCUCUUCCAGAACCAUCGCUUGGUGAUUUCUGUGCGUUUGUGUCGGCUUAUCGAACAGCGGCAUGCAAGGUGAAAUUGACGUCGGAUGUUUGUCUGAAUGAUAAAGCCACAAAAGGUGUUGUGAGAAAGGAGAAGCCAGUUUAUUUGAACGCACAUUCCGCCUCCGUGUCCUCAGCGCCUGGACCACCAGCUUCGAAAGUUAAUCCGGAGCUAAAGCCGUGCCUGAUGUGCAAAAGUACAACGCACAGAGUCCGAACUUGUAAGCAGUUCGAAACGUUGCCGCUCGAAGAGAAGCUGAGUUUCAUCAGUGAAAUUGGAAUGUGUAGGCGUUGCCUGGCGCCGCAUGGAAGGUGGCCUUGCCGAAACAAGCAGCCUUGCGGGAUCAAUGGAUGCCCUGAGCCCCACCAUAAACUGCUACAUCCAGGAAGUUGUUCGACUCUCAAGAGUCAAGGAUCGGAAUCUUCGGUAUCGGUAACUGCCCAUCAUCAACACCAGCAAGGCACCACUUUCUUCAAAAUACUUCCCGUGACUCUUCACGCGAACGGGAAGUCGGUGUCCACAUUUGCUUUUCUGGAUGACGGAUCCGACCUGACGCUGGUCGAAGACGAACUUAUCGACGAACUGGGCUUGGUGGGCGAAAGAAUUCCGCUUUGCUUGCAGUGGACUAGUAACGUCACGAGAAGUGAGAGUAACUCUCGUAAGGUCGAGAUAGGUAUCUCAGGUGCAUCGAACAAUCGCAUCCAUCAGCUGGCGAACGUAAGAACCGUUGAGAGCUUGGAAUUACCGAAGCAGAGCCUGGAUUAUGAGAGUCUCUCGAAGCAGUUCCCUCAUCUGAGUAGACUCCCCAUCAGCAGCUACCGGACGGCCGUGCCACGAAUUCUUAUCGGUGUCGACAAUGCCCAGCUCAACUUAGCUUUGAAGAAGAGAGAAAGAUCCGGAGGAGAACCUAUUGCUGCUAAAUUUCGCCUCGGAUGGGCAAUAUUCGGUGGAAGACGAGCACCUGAGACGAUAGGUAGUGCUUUCGUUCAUGUCUGCGAGAGAUCCAAUAACCGCGAGCUCCAUGAACCGGUCCAGCAGUAUCUUGAAUUCGAAAACCUGGCGAUAUCCGGAUUGAAUCCACCCGAAUCCGACGAAGAUCGACGGGCCAGAAGAUUGCUCGAAAAGACGACAGUUCAUAUACCAUCCGGAAAGUUCCAAACUGGAUUGCUUUGGAAAAGCGAUGAGCCGGUUUUUCCGAACAAAUUUACCAAGGCAGUACGUCGACGCGGUUGUUUUGAAAAGCGCUUGCUGAAAGAUCCCGAACUGAAAACUAAUAUUGACAAACAAAUGAACGAUUGUCUACACAAGAGGUACGUUCACAAAGCAACGUCAGACGAGCUCCGCAACAGUGACGACGGAAAGAUUUGGCACCUGCCAAUCAGCGCAGUGCGACAUCCGAGCAAGUUAACAAAGGUGCGUGUAUUCUGGGAUGCUGCGGCUACGUAUGGAGGAAUCUUUCUGAGCUCCCAGCUUUUGAAAGGUCCGGAUUUGGUGAAGCCCCUUCUAUCUGUCCUCUGCCAAUUCCGACAGAAACAGUAUGCCAUCGCUGGGGACAUAAGGGAGAUGUUCCAGUUGAUUAUUCGUCCGGCAGAUAGAAACGCACAACGAUAUUUGUAUCAGGAGAAUUCAGAAGCUGCGCUCGACGUGUACAUGGACGUCGCAACGUUCGGGGCAAUGUGCUCCUCGUGUUCAGCACAGUUUGCUAAGAAUGGAAACGCCCAGGAACAUAAAGAUCGUUAUCCGGAAGCUGCUGAAACAAUUGUUGACAACACAAAUGUUGACGUUUUCUUUGCGAGCUGUGCCAUUGAAGAGGCAACGAAACUGGCUUUGGAACUGAGUCUGGUCAACCGAUCAGCUGGUUUUGAGAUACCUCGUUGGCAGUCGCACUCCAAACACGUUCUGAAACGGGUUGGGGUGACUACUGGAGAUAAUUUUGUAGUCAACAUGGAAAAUUGCUCGCGGUGUGGUGGUCUACCCAACAGAAUUGCUAACCUGCAUCAUCUUGUGCACCGCUUUAAGCGCUUCAAACGGGAUCCUGUGGAAUCUAGUGAGUCCUGUGGUGGUCUGAAUCGUGAUGAUUGUGUGUCGGCGGAAACAGCCAUUUGGCGGGCUGUACAGCGACAGGUGUUUGCAGGAGAAAUUCAAGCGUUUAGAAGCAGUUCUGAGCCUUCACCGAAGCGGUGGAAGCGUAUCGGCAAGGGAAGUGUCCUAGCGAAGCUAUCAUCGAUGAUCGAUGAGUCCGGUGUUCUCCGGAAGGCGAGCAGAAUCGACCACCUAGCGGCUCAUUAUUCGUUCGAAGUUCGAAAUCCUGAGAUAGUACCAAAAAAUCAUGAUGUAACCACUUCUUUGAUGCUGCGAUUUUACCAAAGGUACGGUCAUGCCACUUCCCAGACGGUACUGAACGAGAUCAAGCUACGUUACUACAUUCCCCGGAUGAGAGCCAGUUCGGAGAAGGCAUUCAAGACUCUCUCGCACCAUCAAAGGCUAGACGAUGAAGGACUGCGAACAUUGCUCUCGGAAGCAGAAUUGAUAGUCAACUCCCAUCUGCUGACGUUCGUGCCGCUGGAGGAUCCCAAGAAAGAAGUGCUGACUCCAAAUCAUUUCCUUUGGCUAAGUUCCGGCGAGGACAGCAAACCACCAAGGGUACCAAUCGACGAUGCUACACCUCUUCGACCAAACUGGAAGGUUAUUCAACACUUAACAAACCAGUUUUGGAAGCGCUGGGUGCAAGCUUACCUACCUACUAUAGCCUGCAGGACGAAAUGGUUCGCGGAAACGCGGCCGCUGAAGGUCGGCGAUCUAGUGGUCAUCGUAGACGAGUCCGUGCGCAACGGAUGGCUCCGAGGUAAGGUGGUGAGGACUUAUCCAGGACGAGACGGACAAGUUCACAAGGUCGACGUGGAGACUUGCGACGGAUCUACUCUUCAAAGACCAGCGGUAAAGGUUGCUCUGUUGGACGUGCAGGAGGAGAGUAAAGUCGAUUGACUACGACGUUACGGGUUGGGGUGUUAGUAGAACUGGCAACCUUGGUACGGGAUCGGACAAACGUCAACGCGUUGGCGCCGAAAAGGAAUUGUCAUUGUUAGAAAAUUGAUCGAAACUGCGACACGUUUUUUCCUGACCUGGCAGUUAGUUGGUUUUUAGUGAGUGGUUUUUGGAGAAAACCUAGGUGGAAUCUAUUUGGCUAGUUGCGCGUGAUUUGAGUGCUCGCGGGUUUGUGAGUCGGAAGAGUUUGAGUGACCGUUCGGUUGUUCCGGUUAGGUGUACCGGGUUGAGCUCAAUUAGAGCGGUAGGAAAGAAAAAGCGUAAGUACGCAAGUGUACUUUUUAUUUACCCGAAGAUAAAUAUGAUUUUCGUCCAUUAGCUUCAAAUAGCCGGUGAUAUCCGACGGUUUAGGGUUGCCAGAGCUAGAGCUUAGGGUAAACGGCGAAACUUAUUUGUAAGUUCAUAAGAGAUUGUUUACAUUAUCAUCAUUUAAUAAUAAAUGUAUUUACAGUCGAGUUCGUUCGCAUACAACGUACUACGGAACAGUUUUUAUUUCCCACAGUUGCUGUUUUCCGGGAUUUUGUUGCCACUAGAGUAGCACGACCGAAGCAGGUGAUUGCUCCACUGGAAUCGCGCCACUGGAAUAGCGAAAUGGAAGCGACCGGAAUUGCAAUCUGAUCCGGCAAGACUUGACACCUCUGAUGAACGACCACCUGGCAAGGUUAAACUCAAACGUAGGAUGCGGCCCUCGUAGCUGUGCAGCUUGUUCCGGUGGGGAUGUUUUGCAGCUGGGCUCGCCCGAUGGAUGGUGAUUGGUGGAUGGAAGGUUUGGUGGUAACGUGAUGAAUGCCGAAGAUUUUGCCAAACCAGAUUUGCAAUACUAUUGCCAAAUGGUUUUGCUCGAGAAAAGGAAGUUUUUCCCAGGAUUGUGGUGGUAAAAAAAGAAAGGGGUCCUAGCGAUGAAAGCGUGUAAUUAAUAUUCUCUUUUGUUUCUGCUUUACAAUUCGAAGGGUACUCACGAAAUUCGACCCCUUUUCCGAUGAUCUUCUCGUGAAGUUUGGCUUCGGCCCAGAUGAGCACGUGGCUUUUCUGAUUGGGGGGAGAAAAGAGGAAUUA